RNAcentral lists this ribosomal RNA (497 nucleotides) under uncultured bacterium. RNAcentral describes it as "partial 16S ribosomal RNA". It matches the Rfam family "Bacterial small subunit ribosomal RNA", at positions 28 to 507 of the family's 1533-position model. The record is from RNAcentral.
GAUGAACACUGGCGGCGUGCCUAAUACAUGCAAGUCGAGCGAACGGACGAGAAGCUUGCUUUUCUGAUGUUAGCGGCGGACGGGUGAGUAACACGUGGAUAACCUACCUAUAAGACUGGGAUAACUUCGGGAAGCCGGAGCUAAUACCGGAUAAUAUUUUGAACCGCAUGGUUCAAAAGUGAAAGACGGUCUUGCUGUCACUUAUAGAUGGAUCCGCGCUGCAUUAGCUAGUUGGUAAGGUAACGGCUUACCAAGGCAACGAUGCAUAGCCGACCUGAGAGGGUGAUCGGCCACACUGGAACUGAGACACGGUCCAGACUCCUACGGGAGGCAGCAGUAGGGAAUCUUCCGCAAUGGGCGAAAGCCUGACGGAGCAACGCCGCGUGAGUGAUGAAGGUCUUCGGAUCGUAAAACUCUGUUAUUAGGGAAGAACAUAUGUGUAAGUAACUGUGCACAUCUUGACGGUACCUAAUCAGAAAGCCACGGCUAACUACGUG